This 488-nucleotide ribosomal RNA is filed under the name uncultured bacterium. RNAcentral's name for it is "bacterial SSU rRNA". It matches the Rfam family "Bacterial small subunit ribosomal RNA", at positions 28 to 507 of the family's 1533-position model. The record is from RNAcentral.
GAUGAACGCUAGCGGCAGGCUUAACACAUGCAAGUCGAGGGGCAGCGGGAAAUGUGCUUGCACAUUUUGCCGGCGACCGGCGCACGGGUGAGUAACGCGUAUCCGACCUACCCAUAACUCGGGCACAGCCGCUCGAAAGAGCGAUUGAUUCCCGAUAUGUCCUUGGAGUAGAUUCAAUGAUGAAAGAUUUAUCGGUUAUGGAUGGGGAUGCGUAAGAUUAGGUAGUAGGCGGGGUAACGGCCCACCUAGCCGACGAUCUUUAGGGGUUCUGAGAGGAAGGUCCCCCCACACUGGUACUGAGACACGGACCAGACUCCUACGGGAGGCAGCAGUGAGGAAUAUUGGUCAAUGGGCGGAAGCCUGAACCAGCCAAGUAGCGUGCAGGAUGACGGCCCUACGGGUUGUAAACUGCUUUUUGCGGGAGGAUAAAACGCCCCACGUGUGGGGCCUUGCAGGUAUCCCGCGAAUAAGGACCGGCUAAUUCCGUG